UACGUAGGUCCCGAGCGUUGUCCGGAUUUGUUGGGCGUAAAGCGAGCGCAGGUGGUUUAUUAAGUCUGGUGUAAAAGGCAGUGGCUCAACCAUUGUAUGCAUUGGAAACUGGUAGACUUGAGUGCAGGAGAGGAGAGUGGAAUUCCAUGUGUAGCGGUGAAAUGCGUAGAUAUUAGGAGGAACACCAGUUGCGAAGGCGGCUCUCUGGACUGUAACUGACACUGAGGCACGAAAGCGUGGGGAGCAAACAGG
RNAcentral lists this ribosomal RNA (252 nucleotides) under uncultured bacterium. RNAcentral describes it as "partial 16S ribosomal RNA". It matches the Rfam family "Bacterial small subunit ribosomal RNA", at positions 524 to 776 of the family's 1533-position model. The record is from RNAcentral.